UGUUACCAAUAAUGUGAUACCUAGGU
This 26-nucleotide non-coding RNA is filed under the name Mus musculus (house mouse). The record is from RNAcentral. Lineage: Eukaryota; Metazoa; Chordata; Mammalia; Rodentia; Muridae.